This 2041-nucleotide ribosomal RNA is filed under the name Salmonella enterica. RNAcentral describes it as "partial 23S ribosomal RNA". It matches the Rfam family "Bacterial large subunit ribosomal RNA", at positions 917 to 2925 of the family's 2925-position model. The record is from RNAcentral. Lineage: Bacteria; Pseudomonadati; Pseudomonadota; Gammaproteobacteria; Enterobacterales; Enterobacteriaceae.
GGCUAGGGGGCCAUCCCGGCUUACCAACCCGAUGCAAACUGCGAAUACCGGAGAAUGUUAUCACGGGAGACACACGGCGGGUGCUAACGUCCGUCGUGAAGAGGGAAACAACCCAGACCGCCAGCUAAGGUCCCAAAGUCAUGGUUAAGUGGGAAACGAUGUGGGAAGGCCCAGACAGCCAGGAUGUUGGCUUAGAAGCAGCCAUCAUUUAAAGAAAGCGUAAUAGCUCACUGGUCGAGUCGGCCUGCGCGGAAGAUGUAACGGGGCUAAACCAUGCACCGAAGCUGCGGCAGCGACACUGUGUGUUGUUGGGUAGGGGAGCGUUCUGUAAGCCUGCGAAGGUGGCCUGUGAGGGUUGCUGGAGGUAUCAGAAGUGCGAAUGCUGACAUAAGUAACGAUAAAGCGGGUGAAAAGCCCGCUCGCCGGAAGAUCAAGGGUUCCUGUCCAACGUUAAUCGGGGCAGGGUGAGUCGACCCCUAAGGCGAGGCCGAAAGGCGUAGUCGAUGGGAAACGGGUUAAUAUUCCCGUACUUGGUGUUACUGCGAAGGGGGGACGGAGAAGGCUAUGUUGGCCGGGCGACGGUUGUCCCGGUUUAAGCGUGUAGGUGUGUGUUCCAGGUAAAUCCGGUUCACUUUAACACUGAGGCGUGAUGACGAGGCACUACGGUGCUGAAGCAACAAAUGCCCUGCUUCCAGGAAAAGCCUCUAAGCAUCAGGUAACAUCAAAUCGUACCCCAAACCGACACAGGUGGUCAGGUAGAGAAUACCAAGGCGCUUGAGAGAACUCGGGUGAAGGAACUAGGCAAAAUGGUGCCGUAACUUCGGGAGAAGGCACGCUGACACGUAGGUGAAGUGAUUUACUCACGGAGCUGAAGUCAGUCGAAGAUACCAGCUGGCUGCAACUGUUUAUUAAAAACACAGCACUGUGCAAACACGAAAGUGGACGUAUACGGUGUGACGCCUGCCCGGUGCCGGAAGGUUAAUUGAUGGGGUCAGCGCAAGCGAAGCUCCUGAUCGAAGCCCCGGUAAACGGCGGCCGUAACUAUAACGGUCCUAAGGUAGCGAAAUUCCUUGUCGGGUAAGUUCCGACCUGCACGAAUGGCGUAAUGAUGGCCAGGCUGUCUCCACCCGAGACUCAGUGAAAUUGAACUCGCUGUGAAGAUGCAGUGUACCCGCGGCAAGACGGAAAGACCCCGUGAACCUUUACUAUAGCUUGACACUGAACAUUGAGCCUUGAUGUGUAGGAUAGGUGGGAGGCUUUGAAGUGUGGACGCCAGUCUGCAUGGAGCCGGCCUUGAAAUACCACCCUUUAAUGUUUGAUGUUCUAACGUGGACCCGUGAUCCGGGUUGCGGACAGUGUCUGGUGGGUAGUUUGACUGGGGCGGUCUCCUCCUAAAGAGUAACGGAGGAGCACGAAGGUUGGCUAAUCCUGGUCGGACAUCAGGAGGUUAGUGCAAUGGCAUAAGCCAGCUUGACUGCGAGCGUGACGGCGCGAGCAGGUGCGAAAGCAGGUCAUAGUGAUCCGGUGGUUCUGAAUGGAAGGGCCAUCGCUCAACGGAUAAAAGGUACUCCGGGGAUAACAGGCUGAUACCGCCCAAGAGUUCAUAUCGACGGCGGUGUUUGGCACCUCGAUGUCGGCUCAUCACAUCCUGGGGCUGAAGUAGGUCCCAAGGGUAUGGCUGUUCGCCAUUUAAAGUGGUACGCGAGCUGGGUUUAGAACGUCGUGAGACAGUUCGGUCCCUAUCUGCCGUGGGCGCUGGAGAACUGAGGGGGGCUGCUCCUAGUACGAGAGGACCGGAGUGGACGCAUCACUGGUGUUCGGGUUGUCAUGCCAAUGGCACUGCCCGGUAGCUAAAUGCGGAAGAGAUAAGUGCUGAAAGCAUCUAAGCACGAAACUUGCCCCGAGAUGAGUUCUCCCUGAGACUUAGAGUCUCCUGAAGGAACGUUGAAGACGACGACGUUGAUAGGCCGGGUGUGUAAGCGCAGCGAUGCGUUGAGCUAACCGGUACUAAUGAACCGUGAGGCUUAACCUUACAACGCCG